RNAcentral lists this long non-coding RNA (437 nucleotides) under Malus domestica (apple). Its description in RNAcentral is "long non-coding RNA (MDOM_LNC014699)". The record is from RNAcentral. Lineage: Eukaryota; Viridiplantae; Streptophyta; Magnoliopsida; Rosales; Rosaceae.
CUCAUUUGCAAGAGAACAACAAUAAUAACACGCUUCCGCAGCCCCGGAGUAUCUCUUCAUAUCCAUCCAAGGCCCUUCCUGAGCAACAACAGAAUUUGAAGCGGGAUGAGAAGCAACAGUCUGAUGAAGAUUACAAUUGUGGGAUUGCUGCAGGGAUUAAUAAGCAAAAGGAAGGGAAAAAAUUGGCAAUGUGUGAGGCUGAGGCAGUGAUUGUGUUGGAUAGUGAAAGUAGUGAUGAGGAAAGGAGUAGACCUGCGAUGACUCUAUCAGUGCUAGCAAGAAAGCGAAUGGGAAAGUGGAGAGUAAGAACUUGACAGUCUUUGGACUCCAAAUCAAUCAAGCCGUAUGUUUGUCCUUACCAAAUUUUGUGCUCUUACUUGCUACUCAGAAUGCUAAUUGUUCCAAUUCACCUGAAAACAGCUGGGCAUUUUACCCAC